RNAcentral lists this ribosomal RNA (497 nucleotides) under uncultured bacterium. RNAcentral describes it as "partial 16S ribosomal RNA". It matches the Rfam family "Bacterial small subunit ribosomal RNA", at positions 28 to 507 of the family's 1533-position model. The record is from RNAcentral.
GAUGAACGCUGGCGGCGUGCCUAAUACAUGCAAGUCGAGCGAACAGACGAGUAGCUUUCUCCUCUGACGUUAGCGGCGGACGGGUGAGUAACACGUGGAUAACCUACCUAUAAGACUGGGAUAACUUCGGGAAACCGGAGCUAAUACCGGAUAAUAUAUUGAACCGCAUGGUUCAAUAGUGAAAGACGGUUUUGCUGUCACUUAUAGAUGGAUCCGCGCCGCAUUAGCUAGUUGGUAAGGUAACGGCUUACCAAGGCAACGAUGCAUAGCCGACCUGAGAGGGUGAUCGGCCACACUGGAACUGAGACACGGUCCAGACUCCUACGGGAGGCAGCAGUAGGGAAGCUUCCGCAAUGGGCGAAAGCCUGACGGAGCAACGCCGCGUGAGUGAUGAAGGUCUUCGGAUCGUAAAACUCUGUUAUUAGGGAAGAACAAAUGUGUAAGUAACUAUGCACGUCUUGACGGUACCUAAUCAGAAAGCCACGGCUAACUACGUG